UGCAGCAGUGAGGAAUAUUGCUCAAUAGGGCGUAAGCCUCGAACCAGCCAAGUCGCGUGAGGGAUGAAGGUUCUAUGGAUCGUAAACCUCUUUUAUAAGGGAAUAAAGUGUGGGACGUGUCCUGUUUUGUAUGUACCUUAUGAAUAAGGAUCGGCUAACUGC
Molecule: ribosomal RNA, 162 nt
Filed under: uncultured bacterium
Lineage: Bacteria
Description: partial 16S ribosomal RNA
Rfam family: Bacterial small subunit ribosomal RNA
Source: RNAcentral